This 931-nucleotide ribosomal RNA is filed under the name uncultured archaeon. Its description in RNAcentral is "bacterial SSU rRNA". It matches the Rfam family "Archaeal small subunit ribosomal RNA", at positions 21 to 904 of the family's 1478-position model. The record is from RNAcentral.
CCCGACUGCCAUUUGGGUGAGAAUAAGCCAUGCGAGUUGAAUGGGAUACCUAAAGUUCCCAUGGCAAACUGCUCAGUAACACAUGGUCAACUUGCCCUAUGGAGAAAAAUAACCUCGGGAAAGACAUAGUGGUUAAUAUAAACUACGAUACCCCGAUACUGAGGAUAAUGUUUCAUAGUUGAAUAGGCUUGGAAAAGUUUUUCAAUGAAAGGGAUAAAGAAAAUGGUCUUUAUUUGCCAUAGGAUAGGAUCGUGCUCGAUUAUGGUUGUUGGUGAGGUAACGGCUCACCAAGCCGAUAAUCGAUAGGGGCCGUGAGAGCGGGAGCCCCAAGAUGGGUACUGAGACAGCGACCCAGGCCUUACGAGGCGCAGCAGGUACGAAACCUCCGCAAUACACGAAAGUGUGACGGGGUUACCCAAAGUGUUCUUAUAGAACUGUGGCAGGUGAGUAAUGUCCCCUGCUAGAAAGGAGAGGGCAAGGCUGGUGCCAGCCGCCGCGGUAAAACCAGCUCUUCAAGUGGUCGGGAUAAUAUUGGGCUUAAAGUGUCCGUAGCCGGUUUAGUAAGUUCCUGGUAAAAUCAGGUAGCUUAACUAUCUGUAUGCUAGGAAUACUGCUAUACUAGAGGGCGGGAGAGGUCUGAGGUACUACAGGGGUAGGGGUGAAAUCUUAUAAUCCUUGUAGGACCACCAGUGGCGAAGGCGUCAGACUGGAACGCGCCUGACGGUGAGGGACGAAAGCCAGGGGAGCGAACCGGAUUAGAUACCCGGGUAGUCCUGGCCGUAAACGAUGCAUACUAGGUGAUGGUACGGCCAUGAGCCGUGUCAGUGCCGUAGGGAAACCGUUAAGUGUGCCGCCUGGGAAGUACGGUCGCAAGGCUAAAACUUAAAGGAAUUGGCGGGGGAGCACCACAAGGGGUGAAGCCUGCGGUUCA